CAUUUGGAGACACGCUACCGGCAGCAAAUGUAUUACUAUCUUUGUUUGUAUUGGUGCUAUUUUCCAUUUCGCUUCGCUCUCAGAUGCACGCUUUACUCCUGACGCCACUAUGGUGGCGUCAGCCAUCUUCGCUGGUGGUUUCACCAGCCUGCCAGGGACUUACCAGCUUCUAUAAAUGAAAAGCACUAUUAGGACCGACAAAAAAACAGUCGACGAUUGCACAUUAAAACAAGAUUGAACAAAGGGAGUUAAGAAAAAACACCGGAAAAAAAACACGUCAGUCACACACGGCUGCCAAAAAGG
Long non-coding RNA from Drosophila obscura, 303 nucleotides. RefSeq lists it as uncharacterized. The transcript has 3 exons. NCBI's taxonomy places the organism in Eukaryota, Metazoa, Arthropoda, Insecta, Diptera, Drosophilidae. The record is from RefSeq and is a predicted model, not a curated record.